UGGAAAACCGAUCUGACUACA
This 21-nucleotide non-coding RNA is filed under the name Caenorhabditis elegans. The record is from RNAcentral. Lineage: Eukaryota; Metazoa; Nematoda; Chromadorea; Rhabditida; Rhabditidae.